RNAcentral lists this ribosomal RNA (555 nucleotides) under Alternaria sp. RNAcentral's name for it is "partial 18S ribosomal RNA". The stretch from base 223 to 375 matches the Rfam family "5.8S ribosomal RNA". The record is from RNAcentral. Lineage: Eukaryota; Fungi; Ascomycota; Dothideomycetes; Pleosporales; Pleosporaceae.
UUGGAAGUAAAAAAUCGUAACAAGGUCUCCGUAGGUGAACCUGCGGAGGGAUCAUUACACAAAUAUGAAGGCGGGCUGGAACCUCUCGGGGUUACAGCCUUGCUGAAUUAUUCACCCUUGUCUUUUGCGUACUUCUUGUUUCCUUGGUGGGUUCGCCCACCACUAGGACAAACAUAAACCUUUUGUAAUUGCAAUCAGCGUCAGUAACAAAUUAAUAAUUACAACUUUAACAACGGAUCUCUUGGUUCUGGCAUCGAUGAAGAACGCAGCGAAAUGCGAUAAGUAGUGUGAAUUGCAGAAUUCAGUGAAUCAUCGAAUCUUUGAACGCACAUUGCGCCCUUUGGUAUUCCAAAGGGCAUGCCUGUUCGAGCGUCAUUUGUACCCUCAAGCUUUGCUUGGUGUUGGGCGUCUUGUCUCUAGCUUUGCUGGAGACUCGCCUUAAAGUAAUUGGCAGCCGGCCUACUGGUUUGGAGCGCAGCACAAGUCGCACUCUCUAUCAGCAAAGGUCUAGCAUCCAUUAAGCCUUUUUUUCAACUUUGACCUCGAUCAGUACGA